AUCUCCGACGACAUUUCGUCCCUCGCGCGCUCAAUUUCAUUCCAGCAGACAACAUAAUAUUCAUAGAAAUUUGAAUCUUUGUUCUACCUAGAAAUCAAAACCGACAACCAAACUCACCAUUGUUACCGGCAAUUUACAGGUCAAAUUGAAGAUGUCGAAUGUCACAGUUUGUGCUCAAUUUAGGCCUUUGAGUUCCAGCGAGAUCAGAGAUCACGGCUCUUGCGUCAGCAUUCAUCGCAUCGACAACAAAUCAUUCAAUUUCAAGCUAUGAAAUACUUCAUGCUCGCUGGGCUAUGCUUCGAGCUCUGGGUGCUCUGGUUCCAGAAAUAUUAGAACAGUUUAACUUUUCACUUUCCUAAACCUGUUGGAGAGUUGGUUACUCAAAACUUAA
Molecule: long non-coding RNA, 391 nt
Organism: Beta vulgaris subsp. vulgaris (sugar beet)
Lineage: Eukaryota; Viridiplantae; Streptophyta; Magnoliopsida; Caryophyllales; Amaranthaceae
Exons: 3
Source: RefSeq, a predicted model, not a curated record